Molecule: long non-coding RNA, 373 nt
Organism: Pollicipes pollicipes
Lineage: Eukaryota; Metazoa; Arthropoda; Thecostraca; Pollicipedomorpha; Pollicipedidae
Exons: 3
Source: RefSeq, a predicted model, not a curated record
UGAAAACAAAAAGCUAGGAGCAGGGUGCGAAAAUAUUGCAAAUGCAGCAGAUGGAGAGAUUGCUCGUAUUUUGAUAGUAUGAAUGCUGCGGGUCUGAAGGAUCUUCGGAAGACAUUAUUCUGAAGCAUUUUUGGAAGUGUCUGUGUCUUGAUGAUGGAGGAAAGUGAAGCAGAUGAGGCAAGUGGGGGCGGAGCCUCGCCCAUGGCCCGUCUGCUGCAGACACGGUCAUCCAAGGACAUCAUUGCCUGGCUGACUGCUGGCAGCACCACUAAGAAGAAGGACUGUGCCCAGAAGAAUGGAACCAGUACAAACUCAUGGAAAGAGUUUCAGCACAUGCGACCCCACUUUGCCACCAGCUUUACUGACUUCCUGC